RNAcentral lists this ribosomal RNA (625 nucleotides) under Platerodrilini gen. sp. UPOL VP0010. RNAcentral's name for it is "eukaryotic LSU rRNA". It matches the Rfam family "Eukaryotic large subunit ribosomal RNA", at positions 678 to 1259 of the family's 3401-position model. Lineage: Eukaryota; Metazoa; Arthropoda; Insecta; Coleoptera; Lycidae. The record is from RNAcentral.
GCAUGUGCGCGAGUCAUUGGGACUCACUAAACCUAAAGGCGAAAUGAAAGUGAAAGUCGGCCUCGCGCCGAUCGAGGGAGGAUGGGCCGCGUCUCGACGCGGCCCCGCACUCCCGGGGCGUCUUAUUCUCAUCGCGAGAGGAGGCGCACCUAGAGCGUACACGCUGGGACCCGAAAGAUGGUGAACUAUGCCUGGUCAGGACGAAGUCAGGGGAAACCCUGAUGGAGGUCCGAAGCGAUUCUGACGUGCAAAUCGAUCGUCGGAACUGGGUAUAGGGGCGAAAGACUAAUCGAACCAUCUAGUAGCUGGUUCCCUCCGAAGUUUCCCUCAGGAUAGCUGGCGCUCGCUUUUGCGAGUCUCAUCUGGUAAAGCGAAUGAUUAGAGGCAUUGGGGUCGAAACGGCCUCAACCUAUUCUCAAACUUUAAAUGGGUGAGAUCUCCGGCUUGCUUAAACGUUCGCGUUGAAGCCGCGAGAUCGGAUCAGAGUGCCAAGUGGGCCAUUUUUGGUAAGCAGAACUGGCGCUGUGGGAUGAACCAAACGCAGAGUUAAAGCUCCAAAAUCGACGCUUAUGGGAUACCAUGAAAGGCGUUGGUAACUUAAGACAGCAGGACGGUGGCCAUGGAA